This 442-nucleotide ribosomal RNA is filed under the name uncultured Anaerolineaceae bacterium. RNAcentral describes it as "bacterial SSU rRNA". It matches the Rfam family "Bacterial small subunit ribosomal RNA", at positions 923 to 1382 of the family's 1533-position model. The record is from RNAcentral. Lineage: Bacteria; Bacillati; Chloroflexota; Anaerolineae; Anaerolineales; Anaerolineaceae.
GCACAAGCAGCGGAGCGUGUGGUUUAAUUCGAUGUUACACGAAGAACCUUACCAGGGUUUGACAUGCAAGUGGUAGGAAGCCGAAAGGGACGACCCUUCGGGAGCCUAUACAGGUGUUGCAUGGCUGUCGUCAGCUCGUGUCGUGAGAUGUUCGGUUAAGUCCGCUAACGAGCGCAACCCUCGUCGUAUGUUAUAUGUGUCAUACGAGACUGCCGGUAAAAGCCGGAGGAAGGUGAGGAUGAUGUCAAGUCAGCAUGACCUUUAUAUCCAGGGCUACACACACGCUACAAUGGUCUGUACAAUGGGUAGCCAAGCCGCGAGGCGGAGCCAAUCCUGAAAGCAGGCCUCAGUUCAGAUUGCAGUCUGCAACUCGACUGCAUGAAGCCGGAGUUGCUAGUAACCGCAGGUCAGCAAUACUGCGGUGAAUACGUUCCCGGGUCUU